Herpailurus yagouaroundi (jaguarundi) is the source of this 776-nucleotide long non-coding RNA. RefSeq lists it as uncharacterized. NCBI's taxonomy places the organism in Eukaryota, Metazoa, Chordata, Mammalia, Carnivora, Felidae. The transcript has 3 exons. The record is from RefSeq and is a predicted model, not a curated record.
GCAUUUACUGACCAUUGCAGGACUGAGGCUAUGUCUUUCCCUAUCACAGUCUCCUGUGCUCUUGGGAAGCCCUGAGCUUGCUGACACCCCACUCCUUGAAUUCUUUCUCCAAUUCACUUCCACACAGUCCUUUCAGGAAAUGCUUGCCCUGCAUUUUUUUUCCUGUUGGUUCCUCGUGCCCCUCCCAUUCCUAAAUGUGGCUCUCUCAAAAACUCUGCCUGUAGCCCUUUGCCAUGCCUGUCCCCUAUCCAAAAGGCAGCCGUCUCCCUUCCAAUGUGACCUGUCCCACUUCUGCUGGAGCCAGCCCUCCUCUGUGACCUGGCCCAGGUCAAGGCCCUCCAACCUCCAUGCUUUUCAUUCACCUACAUCCACUCAGAAUGCACUCAGACCCCCUUUUUCAGAAACUAGCUGAUCCAGGUUUUAAGGCCAUAGAGUAUUAAUUCAAAGCACAGACUCUGGGCCAGGCUGCCUGAGUCCCAACCCUGGCUCUGACAAUUAGCAGCUGUGGGACGCUGAGGCAAGUUCUGUGCCUCAGUUUCCCUACCUGUAAAAUAGGGAUAAUAACAGCACCUACUUCGCAGCAUUGUUAUAAAAAUUAAGGGAGUUAAUGCUUGGAAGGGGUUUACAUGAGUGUUUGGUGCUUAGCAAGAGUUAGGUAAGGCCUUCUUAUUACUAUCUUUGAUGAGAAAGUACCUAGCCCAAGGGUUCCUAACUGGGGGUCCUUGGGUGGGUUUCUCCCACUCAACUUCCUGAGAUUAAAUGCAAAAUCUUGUGAA